GCCGCUGCAAGGGAGUUUCGUGGGCCUAAGGCUAAAACCAAUUUUCUCUUGCCCUCUGAGGACCAUAGUCCCAGCCACAGCAGCACCGUGGAGUCGUCCAUUGCCGAUAACAAACAGCACGCGCCGAUCGAGCUGGAUCUCACGCGCCGCCUUGGUGCCGCCACCGCCGAGGUGGACGAAAUCGGUGCUGGUGGUGUUGGGGGUCGUCUUCAUGUUAAUGGGUAUCAAUUUUUGCACCAUCGGCCGACCAUGGCGUUGAUGCCAAAUGGACAGCAGGUUUUUUUCUUCGAGCAAUUGAUGCAGCCCCUGAUGGUAGACCACCGUGCCGGAUCCUACCUGCCGAACACGGUGGCAGUUGAUUAUCGUAGUGGCGGCGCCGCACAGAGUGAUUCAGAUUCUUCCUCUGUUGUUGAUGGAACUGACACAAUUGCAAAGAGGGGCCUUGAUCUCGAUCUUAAUCUGCCUCCAUUAGUGGAGCUUGAACCUUAAUCAUGACGUCAGUAAAUAACUUCGAAAUGUUUUAU
This 524-nucleotide long non-coding RNA is filed under the name Olea europaea (common olive). Its description in RNAcentral is "long non-coding RNA (OEUR_LNC010716)". The record is from RNAcentral. Lineage: Eukaryota; Viridiplantae; Streptophyta; Magnoliopsida; Lamiales; Oleaceae.